GUCACCUGGGGAAUAUUGUUAAAAUGCAGAUUCUGAUUCAGCAAGUCUAGGUUGGGGACUGAGAUUCUGCAUUUCUAACAAGCAGCUAGGUGAUGCCUA
This is a non-coding RNA of Pongo abelii (Sumatran orangutan), 99 nucleotides long. The record is from Rfam. Lineage: Eukaryota; Metazoa; Chordata; Mammalia; Primates; Hominidae.